GCCAGGCAUGGUGGCAUAUGCCUGUAAUCCCAGUGGCUUUGGAGGCUGAGGCAGGAGGAUCGUGAGUUCAAAGCCAGCCUCAGCAAUUUAGGAAGGCCCUAAGCAACUCAGUGAGACCCUGUCUCUA
This 127-nucleotide small RNA is filed under the name Marmota monax (woodchuck). The record is from RNAcentral. Lineage: Eukaryota; Metazoa; Chordata; Mammalia; Rodentia; Sciuridae.